UGGCUCUCUCCUUGCCUGGAACUGGAUAUGAGAAAUGCUUGAAUUAAGAUCUGUGAAUUAUCUUAUUUUCUUGUCAGAAGGAUGCAGAUUGCCCAUACUUCAUAGCAGAGCAACAGGAGGGACUUAGGGACAAAAAGCUCAAAGGCAAGGAAGACUGAGGAAGCUAAGUUACUGGCCAUAUGUUUAAUAAAUAUAAGCUUAAUGGCAGUGAAUGUAUUAAUGUCAGCGAAGACAAGUCUAUGAAGUUAAACAGGCACAGAGAGGCUAAGAGUCUUGCCAAAGGCCACAGAGGAAGGAAGAGACUAAAUCUGGAACAAACUUUCUAUUCUCCAUUUCCAGAAGAAACCACUAAACCAUGCUUCCUCUUGUCAUGGAAGCUUAAAAUAUUUGAUCAAACUACGUUUAAAUAAGAAUUAAAAUGCCAUUUGUCCAUCACCUAAUGGCUCAAUUUGCUCCUGCCUUGGGUGUGCACACCCUGCUCUGGAACAGACCAGAGCUCUAAAGAAGUGACUGGAAGUUGUGAAUGUCAUUGUUAUGAAGCUUCAAAUUUGCUCUCCUCUUUAGGACACAGACAUGGCAUUAGAGAAGGGCAGAAAACUGCACUUGGCUGUGCAUAGAGAACACUAGAGACCUCUUGUGCAAGAGAGGGGACUAGGUUGCGUAGUGUAAUGAGAGAAGCAUGGGUUUUGAGACCGCUACAAUGUCUGUGUCUUCUUGGCCAACAUUUCAGUAAGAGUAGUAAGCAUAUCUCCACAAUAGGGUUAAGAGAACCAGUGUCUUCUGAAAAACACAUGAAAUCAUCGUAACCCUGCUAAGUCUGUGCUUUGCAAAAAUUAAA
This 838-nucleotide long non-coding RNA is filed under the name Homo sapiens (human). Its description in RNAcentral is "HSALNT0374285". The record is from RNAcentral. Lineage: Eukaryota; Metazoa; Chordata; Mammalia; Primates; Hominidae.